RNAcentral lists this long non-coding RNA (743 nucleotides) under Homo sapiens (human). RNAcentral describes it as "non-protein coding lnc-SLC2A6-3:1". The record is from RNAcentral. Lineage: Eukaryota; Metazoa; Chordata; Mammalia; Primates; Hominidae.
CUCCAGGUACUCUCUCUGAUCCCCUCACCCUGGAGGAGGAAAACCUUACCCAAGGACCAGCCCGGCACACAACCCUUGUCUGAACUCUUAAAACCUGCAGACAUCCUCGACAGACAUUCUCUAAGACCUUGCCCACUCCAGUAAUCCACAAGAUUGAGGGCAGACAGGAAAGGAAAGGGUAUCACUCAGACAGACUUGUCUUUCCCUGGAAGGCCAGCUGUACGGCUUCCAUUCACUCCUGGAGCUGACCUGCCUCCCUCUUUGUCCUUUUCUGGCUGUGCUUAAGAGCCUAGCUUCCCUGGCAGCCUAAGGUCAGGGUCUGUGACUGGGAUGCGUGCGGAGAAGGGGAGGAAGGCCGGUGACAGGCGGCUAAGGCAGCAGCAACGGGGGAGAUAUGAGAGCGGACAGAGGACCCAGGGAGAGGCCGGGCCCUCAGCUCACUGCCCCGCGGCCCCAGGGGCCACCUGUGCCCUGACACCACCUGACCCUCAGCAAACUUCCGCCCAGUGGCUUCCUGCCAGAAAUCUAGCCAGCCGUGCACCCGCCUCCCUUACAAACAAUCCUUGCCCAAAGGUUAGCAAUGUGGCUGCCGUCACCUACGCCCAAGUCAACAGUUGACGCUUUAGUACGGGCCAGGUGGGCAUGCGCCCCGUGAGCAUCACCGAGAAAGUCUCACAAAAGCCCCUGGGGAGCGGGGGGAGGGCUCAGUCACGUGCCCCAGGCCGGUGCCCCACCCCCGCCCC